CAAUAGCGUAUAUUAAAGUUGUUGCGGUUAAAAAGCUCGUAGUUGGAUUUCUGCCGAGGACGACCGGUCCGCCCUCCGGGUGAGCAUCUGGCUCGGCCUAGGCAUCUUCUUGGGGAGCGUAUCUGCACUUCAUUGUGUGGUGCGGUAUCCAAGACUUUUACUUUGAGGAAAUUAGAGUGUUUCAAGCAGGCCCACGCCUUGAAUACAUUAGCAUGGAAUAAUAAGGUAGGACCUCGGUUCUAUUUUGUUGGUUUCUAGAAUUGAGGUAAUGAUUAAUAGGGAUAGUUGGGGGCAUUCGUAUUUAACUGUCAGAGGUGAAAUUCUUGGAUUUGUUAAGGACGGACUACUGCGAAAGCAUUUGCCAAGGAUGUUUUCAUUGA
Molecule: ribosomal RNA, 380 nt
Filed under: uncultured eukaryote
Lineage: Eukaryota
Description: partial 18S ribosomal RNA
Rfam family: Eukaryotic small subunit ribosomal RNA
Source: RNAcentral